CGUUCCUUGGUGGCGGCGGCGGCGGUGGCGCACACGUUUUUCGGCGUGCUUCACUACCAAUUACUUAAACACUCGUAGAAAACAAUCAUGUUCAGCCGACCCCGACCGUAACCUAAUCCCAUUUUUAUCUCCAAAGGUCAAGAUUCAAAAAUAAGAUGUGUCUUUCUAAAACAUUCAGUUAAAAGAUAUUCGACAACAUGAAAACUGUGCGCGGACUUGUUGUCAAAUAUUCAGUUAUGUUUAGAUUGAUGAUUUCAAUCGGUCUUUUAGAGUGCAUUGGUGGAGUCCGAAUCAACAGACUGCAAGUACCGGAAGUGACGCAAUUGGGCGACCCUGUCGUCCUUGAUUGCGAUUACACACUAGAGGAGUCUCUGGACGACGGAUUGGUCGUUAAGUGGUUUUUUAACGAGACUCCGACUCCGAUUUAUCAGUGGAUUCCCAACAAAAAACCGCAGGAAUUAGGUAUACUUAAGGGACGGCUCGACUUAGAAUACUCGGCGAGCACCGAUACGAAUAGUGUGCACCGCGCCUUGCAUAUCAUACAGCCCGGCCCGGAUCUGUCCGGAGAUUACACCUGUUUUGUUUCUACCUUCAGCAGUGAGGACAGGAAAACGAAAAGGAUGCUCGUUUUUGUGCCGGAAAAGCGUCUAGAGCUACGACAAGAACACGUCGGCGACGGCACAUUGCAGGUGGUGUGUUUAGCAGAGGGCGUAUUCCCUAAGCCCAAUAUGAGUCUGCAUGUGGGCAACAGCGAAGUGAACAGCUCAAAGGUGGCCGUGCAAGAAAGGGCCGGACUAUUCGACAUUCGAGCUACAGCAGAGGUGCCAUCUUUAAACGGCCCAGAGGAAUUCUCGUGUGAGCUUCGAAUCCCCCAAGCCAAUUACACCGUCAGAAAGGAAGCUAUCUAUUAUCCCGAACAAUGCAUGUGUUACAUCCACAACAUACUUGAGAGGGUGCAAAUUUGAAGACAAUGAGAUUCUGUAAAGUUUUAAUGCACUACCGCAACAUUUUCAGCGUAGGGGAAUGAUAUUAUGACGUGUCAAUCUUUUGGGACCAAUUUAAAAUGAUAAACUAAGUAGAAAGUUUUAAUGGGAUAUUUGAGCAAGUUUUAGAACUGUUGGAAAGCAAAAUAAUCUACGAGUAUAUAGCAAGCGGAAGCACUUUUCACUCAUCAUCAGCAAUUUUAGAGUCCAUUCUACUAAUUCUUCAUGUACUCUUCGUAC
Molecule: RNA transcript, 1223 nt
Organism: Tribolium madens (black flour beetle)
Lineage: Eukaryota; Metazoa; Arthropoda; Insecta; Coleoptera; Tenebrionidae
Exons: 7
Source: RefSeq, a predicted model, not a curated record